UACGUAGGGUGCGAGCGUUGUCCGGAAUUAUUGGGCGUAAAGAGCUCGUAGGCGGCUUGGCAAGCCGGGUGUGAAAACUCCAGGCUCAACCUGGAGACGCCACCCAGGACUGCUAUGGCUAGAGGCCGGUAGGGGAUCACGGAAUUCCUGGUGUAGCGGUGAAAUGCGCAGAUAUCAGGAGGAACACCGGUGGCGAAGGCGGUGAUCUGGGCCGGCACUGACGCUGAGGAGCGAAAGCUAGGGGAGCAAACGGG
RNAcentral lists this ribosomal RNA (254 nucleotides) under uncultured bacterium. Its description in RNAcentral is "partial 16S ribosomal RNA". It matches the Rfam family "Bacterial small subunit ribosomal RNA", at positions 524 to 776 of the family's 1533-position model. The record is from RNAcentral.